UAUGUGAUCGUCUCUCGCAUAUCAAUAAGCGGAGGAAAAGAAACUAACAAGGAUUCCCCUAGUAACGGCGAGUGAAGCGGGAAGAGCUCAAAUUUGAAAUCUUAAAGGGUUUCCCUUUACGAAUUGUAGUUUAAAGAAGUGUUUUCUGUUGAGGUUUUGGUAAAAGUUCUUUGGAAUAGGACAUCAUAGAGGGUGAGAAUCCCGUAUUUGGACCUUACUUUCUAGCUUUGUGAAUACACUUUCAAAGAGUCGGAUUGUUUGGGAAUGCAGUCCAAAAUGGGUGGUAAAUUUCAUCUAAAGCUAAAUAUUGGCGAGAGACCGAUAGCGAACAAGUACCGUGAGGGAAAGAUGAAAAGAACUUUGAAAAGAGAGUUAAACAGUACGUGAAAUGGUCAAAAGGGAAGCGUUUGACACCAGUGUUGUUUUUCUGAAAAUCAAUUAAAGAACUGUUUAUGCUAAGCCGUUUAGACUUUAUCAGCUAUCUGUUUAGUUUUGAGCUUUUCUUUAAUGCACUUUUCAGUUAACAAGUCAACAUCAAUUUCUUUUGCUGUAAAAAAGCUUGAGGAAGGUGGCUUGAGAUUCGUCUUAAGUGUUUAUAGCCUCUUGCCUAUGCAGUCGGAGAGAUUGAGGUCUGCAGCGUAGAUCCUCCGGGGCUAAAUGCAUUUGUGCUAAGUUAUAGCAUUUUAUAGACAACUUGUUGACUAUGAUUUGUCUUGUAGCUUACUCGCUUAUGUUAUUUUACCUACGCUUAGGAUGUUGAGCGCAUGUCUCUCUCU
This 776-nucleotide ribosomal RNA is filed under the name uncultured Neocallimastigales. Its description in RNAcentral is "partial large subunit ribosomal RNA". It matches the Rfam family "Eukaryotic large subunit ribosomal RNA", at positions 24 to 616 of the family's 3401-position model. Lineage: Eukaryota; Fungi; Neocallimastigomycota; Neocallimastigomycetes; Neocallimastigales. The record is from RNAcentral.